RNAcentral lists this unclassified non-coding RNA (270 nucleotides) under Astragalus montismishoudaghi. Its description in RNAcentral is "partial external transcribed spacer". The stretch from base 209 to 270 matches the Rfam family "Eukaryotic small subunit ribosomal RNA", at positions 1 to 62 of the family's 1831-position model. Lineage: Eukaryota; Viridiplantae; Streptophyta; Magnoliopsida; Fabales; Fabaceae. The record is from RNAcentral.
AAUUUUUCAUGCUCCACGGUGACUACUUUGGUCCGUACGCGCGCGCUGUAUUCUUGGAUGCGGUGCAUGAGGUUAAGGUGGGUCUUUUUUUCCCACUGUGUCCCUUUACUUUCGGUUGACUUGGAUGAUGCCUGUCUCUUUUUGCAUUGUUUGCUUCCCCACCAGUGGGUGCAAAGCUUGCAACUAGAGCAGUGUCAUUGAUGGAUGCUACCUGGUUGAUCCUGCCAGUAGUCAUAUGCUUGUCUCAAAGAUUAAGCCUGGCAGUGGUAA